GAUGAACGCUGGCGGCGUGCUUAACACAUGCAAGUCGAACGGAAAGGCUCCUGCUUGCUGGUGUCCUCGAGUGGCGAACGGGUGAGUAACACGUGGGUGAUCUGCCCUGCACUUCGGGAUAAGCCUGGGAAACUGGGUCUAAUACCGGAUAGGAUGAUGAUUUGGAUGCCAUUGUGGAAAGUUUUUGCGGUGUGGGAUGAGCUCGCGGCGUAUCAGCUUGUUUGUGGGGUAAUGGCCUACCAAGGCGACGACGGGUAGCCGGCCUGGGAGGGUGUACGGCCACGUUGGGACUGAAAUACGGCCCAGACUCCUACGGGAGGCAGCGGUGGGGAAUAGUACACAAUGGGCGCAAGCCUAAUGCAGCGACGCCGCGUGGGGGAUAACGGCCAUCGGGUUGUAAACUCCUUUCGCUAGAGACGAAGCGCAAGUGACGGUACCUGGAGAAGAAGCACCGGCUAACUACGUG
This 466-nucleotide ribosomal RNA is filed under the name uncultured bacterium. RNAcentral describes it as "partial 16S ribosomal RNA". It matches the Rfam family "Bacterial small subunit ribosomal RNA", at positions 28 to 507 of the family's 1533-position model. The record is from RNAcentral.